Molecule: ribosomal RNA, 979 nt
Filed under: human gut metagenome
Description: bacterial LSU rRNA
Rfam family: Bacterial large subunit ribosomal RNA
Source: RNAcentral
ACGGUCCUAAGGUAGCGAAAUUCCUUGUCAGGUAAGUUCUGACCCGCACGAAAGGUGUAAUGAUCUGGGCACUGUCUCAACCGUGGACUCGGUGAAAUCUUAAUACCUGUGAAAAUGCAGGUUACCCGCAUCAGGACGGAAAGACCCCAUGGAGCUUUACUGUAGCUUGAUAUUGAAGUUCGGUACAUUAUGUAGAGGAUAGGUGGGAGACUAUGAGACUAAGACGCCAGUCUUAGAGGAGUCAACCUUGGAAUACCACCCUUAAUGUAUUGGAUUUCUAACCUAGACCCAUAAUCUGGGCCAGGGACAGUGUCUGGUGGGCAGUUUGACUGGGGCGGUCGCCUCCCAAAAAGUAACGGAGGCGCCCAAAGGUUCCCUCAGAAUGGUUGGAAAUCAUUCAUAGAGCGUAAAGGUAUAAGGGAGCUUGACUGCGAGACCAACAAGUCGAGCAGAUACGAAAGUAGGGCUUAGUGAUCAGACGAUUCAGAAUGGAAUGGUCGUCGCUUAACGGAUAAAAGUUACCCUGGGGAUAACAGGCUGAUACCACCCAAUAGUUCACAUAGACGGUGGUGUUUGGCACCUCGAUGUCGGCUCGUCACAUCCUGGAGGUGAAGUCGCUUCCAAGGGUUGGGCUGUUCGCCCAUUAAAGUGGCACGCGAGCUGGGUUCAGAACGUCGUGAGACAGUUCGGUCCCUAUCCGAUGUGGGCGUAGGAAAAUUGAAGAGAGCUAUCCUUAGUACGAGAGGACCGGGAUGGACAAACCUCUGGUGUAUCUGUUGUAGCGCCAGCUGCAGUGCAGAGUAGCUAUGUUUGGAAUGGAUAACCGCUGAAAGCAUCUAAGCGGGAAGCCAACUUUGAGAUGAGUUUUCCCAUACGUAUGUAGUAAGAUCCCAAAAAGACGAUUUGGUUGAUAGGCUGGAGAUGGAAGAAUGGUGACAUUUUGAGUUGACCAGUACUAAUAGAUCGAGGAUUUAAUCAU